This 207-nucleotide non-coding RNA is filed under the name Clostridium tetanomorphum. RNAcentral's name for it is "T-box sequence". It matches the Rfam family "T-box leader". Rfam says of the family: Uncharged tRNA acts as the effector for transcription antitermination of genes in the T-box leader family. Lineage: Bacteria; Bacillati; Bacillota; Clostridia; Eubacteriales; Clostridiaceae. The record is from RNAcentral.
AAAAAUACUUUGAACAGGAGUAGUAGUAUUUUCCCACUUUUAAGAGAACUGUUGGAUGGUGUAAAACAGUAGUGAAAAAUACGAACUCGCCUGGGAGUUUAUCUGUCAAAAGCAGAUACGGUUAUUCCGUUAAAAUACUAAGUGAAAGUCUAACAUUUAGACCUUAAUUAGAGUGGUACCGCGGAGAUUCAAGCCUUCGUCUCUUAA